AUGCUCAUUUUAGCACCAUAUACACUAAAAUGGGAAUGCUAGAAGUGUAGUAGGGUCCCUGAGCAGGGAUGACAGGCAAAUUUGUGAAGGGUUGCAUAUUUUC
This is a small nuclear RNA of Zalophus californianus (California sea lion), 103 nucleotides long. Lineage: Eukaryota; Metazoa; Chordata; Mammalia; Carnivora; Otariidae. The record is from Ensembl.